UCCAAUGGAUGGGACCCCAAUGAAAUGUUCAAGUUCAAUGAGGAGAACUACGGUGUGAAGACUACCUAUGAUAGCAGUCUUUCUUCUUAUACGGUGCCCUUAGAAAAGGACAACUCAGAAGAGUUUCGUCAGCGAGAGCUGCGUGCGGCCCAGUUGGCUCGAGAGAUUGAAUCAAGCCCCCAGUACCGCCUACGGAUCGCCAUGGAGAACGACGAUGGGCGCACUGAAGAGGAGAAGCACAGUGCAGUCCAGCGGCAGGGCUCAGGGCGGGAGAGCCCCAGCUUGGCAUCCAGGGAGGGGAAGUAUAUCCCUCUGCCUCAACGAGUCCGGGAAGGUCCCCGGGGAGGAGUUCGAUGCAGCAGCUCUCGGGGCGGUCGGCCUGGCCUUAGCUCUUUGCCACCUCGUGGCCCUCACCAUCUGGACAACAGCAGCCCUGGCCCAGGUUCUGAGGCCCGUGGUAUCAAUGGAGGCACAGCGGCCUCUGAGAGGUGCCAAGACUCUGUCUUCGCCCAGUAAUAGGCCUUCUGGAGAAACUUCUGUUCCUCCUCCUCCUGCAGUGGGCCGGAUGUAUCCCCCGCGUUCUCCCAAGUCUGCUGCCCCUGCCCCAAUCUCAGCUUCCUGUCCAGAGCCUCCCAUCGGCUCGGCAGUGCCAACCUCUUCAGCCUCCAUCCCUGUGACCUCAUCAGUCUCAGAUCCUGGAG
RNAcentral lists this small RNA (701 nucleotides) under Pan troglodytes (chimpanzee). RNAcentral's name for it is "processed transcript". The record is from RNAcentral. Lineage: Eukaryota; Metazoa; Chordata; Mammalia; Primates; Hominidae.